AACGAACGCUGGCGGCAUGCCUAACACAUGCAAGUCGAACGAGACCUUCGGGUCUAGUGGCGCACGGGUGCGUAACGCGUGGGAACCUGCCCUUAGGUUCGGAAUAACUCCCCGAAAGGGGUGCUAAUACCGGAUAAUGUCUUCGGACCAAAGAUUUAUCGCCUUUGGAUGGGCCCGCGUUGGAUUAGCUAGUUGGUAGGGUAAAAGCCUACCAAGGCGACGAUCCAUAGCUGGUCUGAGAGGAUGAUCAGCCACACUGGGACUGAGACACGGCCCAGACUCCUACGGGAGGCAGCAGUGGGGAAUAUUGGACAAUGGGCGAAAGCCUGAUCCAGCAAUGCCGCGUGAGUGAUGAUGGCCUUAGGGUUGUAAAGCUCUUUUACCCGGGAUGAUAAUGACAGUACCGGGAGAAUAAGCUCCGGCUAACUCCGU
Molecule: ribosomal RNA, 432 nt
Filed under: uncultured bacterium
Lineage: Bacteria
Description: partial 16S ribosomal RNA
Rfam family: Bacterial small subunit ribosomal RNA
Source: RNAcentral